Molecule: long non-coding RNA, 1172 nt
Filed under: Pan troglodytes (chimpanzee)
Lineage: Eukaryota; Metazoa; Chordata; Mammalia; Primates; Hominidae
Description: lncRNA (ENSPTRG00000052956.1)
Source: RNAcentral
CUGACAGUGCAUACACAAAGGGUUGGUUUGAGGGAAGGUGUUAUUUGAUGUCUAUGUCAUUCAAUAACAUCACUUGAUAUGAUAUAGUACAUCACAUGGCGUGUUUCUUAUCAGCAUGACAAAAGUAAUCUCUUCCGCCAACUGUAGCGUGUCUGAAAGACAGCAAUAUAUCUGCCAAGAUUAAAUGCCUCUAUACUAAAGCUUAUUUAAAAUAAAAUUACUUCUCAAAAAAUCUCAUUGCAUAGGUUAUGUUACUGUGAAAGACGGUAAAUUUAGUAACAACAUCAUGCCCUAAAUGUAACUCAGGAAGUGGCAAUAUUCUGUAUUUAUUUUUUCUUUUCCAAACGAAAUGAGCUACAAAGCUAGGUGGAUGCCAGAGGACAUGAGCACAGAUAGACAGAUUUGCUGUGGACAAUAUUACUGUGCUCUAAUACAUUCUUUUUGUGAUUAUUCCAGGUCAAGAUAGUGCCAAAGAGGAAGUUAUAAAGCAGACUAGGAAAUUCUCCUAAAUAUAUCUCCAACAGAGUAAACAAGAGAUUAGGAAACUUGUCCUUCAUUCAAUUACACCUGGCAGGUGAAUGAGAGUGGAGCAGUAAGAGAUGCUGCUUCCAUUAGUUUUCUGCCUCUCAAUCCUUGCUGUUCAAAGUAUGGUCCACAGUCCAGCAGCUUUGGCAUCACCUGGGAACUUGAUGGAAAUGCAGAGAAGUUCAAAUUCCCACCACCGAUAUACUGAAUUAGAAACAUCUGCCCUUCAAGAAGAUCCACUGGUGAUAAUAUGCAUAUUAAAGUUUGAGUAGCACUGCCAUUCUAUAUCAGCUUGCAAAAUGAAAGCAAGAAGAAACAAAACAAAGCAUUAGCCAGUUUGGAUUUUCUGAAGUGCACUAAAUGUCAAACUCAAGAAAAGGAUUCUAUUCUGACAAGCACAAAACCCUGCACCAAGUUGAACCUGUCCUUUGUGAUGAGGCUGUUGAACAGAAGAGCAGCAUAGCAGUCUGUCUAUUCUUGCUCCACAUUCAGCUAAAUGCCAACUCCGAUCCCUUUGAGAUGGUGAACAGGCUGAACCCAGGGAUCGUGUCAUCCCUCAGUAUCCAGACUUCUUCAGAGAACCAUGUGGUGAAACUUCUUGAUUAAGGUCAUGUUCUUAGUCUAUAGCAUCAUUUUUUUUUUGUAAG